ACGGGGGCCCGCACAAGCGGUGGAGCAUGUGGUUUUAAUUCGAUGCAACGCGAAGAACCUUACCAGGUCUUGACAUCUGUGGAACCUUGUUGAAAGAUGAGGGUGCCUUCGGGAGCCACAAGACAGGUGGUGCAUGGUUGUCGUCAGCUCGUGUCGUGAGAUGUUGGGUUAAGUCCCGCAACGAGCGCAACCCUUGCUAUUAGUUGCUAACAUUUAAGGUGAGCACUCUAAUGGGACUGCCGGUGACAAGCCGGAGGAAGGUGGGGAUGACGUCAAAUCAUCAUGCCCUUUAUGACCUGGGCUACACACGUGCUACAAUGGAUGGUACAGAGAGCAGCAAGACCGCGAGGUGGAGCGAAUCUCAAAAAGCCAUUCUCAGUUCGGAUUGUAGUCUGCAACUCGACUACAUGAAGUCGGAAUCGCUAGUAAUCGCGAAUCAGCAUGUCGCGGUGAAUGCGUUCCCGGGCCUUGUACACACCGCCAAACAUAUUGCGCUAUGGUAGAUCCUCUGACGCAGUCGACGCUGCGUGAGCGAUGCAAUGCCUUCGGGUUGUAAAGCUCUGUUUUAGGGGACGAAUGUCACGGGGAGUAAUAUGUCCUGUGAAUGACGGUACCCUAAGAGGAAGCCCCGGCUAACUACGUGCCAGCAGCCGCGGUAAGACGUAGGGGGCGAGCGUUGUCCGGAAUUACUGGGCGUAAAGAGCACGUAGGCGGAACUUUAAGUCAGGUGUGAAAGACCGAGGCUCAACCUCGGGGUUGCACUUGAAACUGGAGUCCUUGAGGGCAGGAGAGGAAAGCAGAAUUCCUGGUGUAGCGGUGAAAUGCGUAGAAAUCAGGAGGAAUACCAGUGGCGAAGGCGGCUUUCUGGACUGUCCCUGACGCUGAGGUGCGAAAGCGUGGGUAGCAAACAGGAUUAGAUACCCUGGUAGUCCACGCCGUAAACGAUGGAUACUAGGUGUGGGAGGUAUCGACCCCUUCCGUGCCGCAGCUAACGCAAUAAGUAUCCCGCCCUGGGGAG
Molecule: ribosomal RNA, 1018 nt
Filed under: uncultured bacterium
Lineage: Bacteria
Description: bacterial SSU rRNA
Rfam family: Bacterial small subunit ribosomal RNA (bases 1-542)
Source: RNAcentral